This 495-nucleotide ribosomal RNA is filed under the name uncultured bacterium. RNAcentral describes it as "bacterial SSU rRNA". It matches the Rfam family "Bacterial small subunit ribosomal RNA", at positions 28 to 511 of the family's 1533-position model. The record is from RNAcentral.
GAUGAACGCUAGCGGCAGGCUUAACACAUGCAAGUCGAGGGGCAGCAUGAGACGGAGAUUCGUCGAAGUCUUGAUGGCGACCGGCGCAAGGGUGCGUAACGCGUGAGCAACUUGCCCGUUUCUGGGGCAUAACCGGUGGAAACGCCGACUAAUUCCCCAUAGUAUUGAUUCCAGGCAUCUGUUAUCAAUUAAGAAUUUCGGAAACGGAUAGGCUCGCGUGACAUUAGCUAGACGGCGGGGUAACGGCCCACCGUGGCGACGAUGUCUAGGGGUUCUGAGAGGAAGGUCCCCCACACUGGAACUGAGACACGGUCCAGACUCCUACGGGAGGCAGCAGUGAGGAAUAUUGGUCAAUGGUCAGACGACUGAACCAGCCAUGCCGCGUGAAGGUCACGGCCCUAUGGGUCUUAAACUUCUUUUGCAAGGGAGCAAUAAGCCUCACGUGUGGGGCGAUGAGAGUACCUUGCGAAUAAGCAUCGGCUAACUCCGUGCCAG